CUCACAUCGCCCUUCUCGCCCUGACAGGCUACAGACUAACGCCCACGUUUGCUCCAGAUCAUCCCAUCCUCCCAGGGGGCAGGAAAUGGCUGCAAUGGAGCUGGCUCAGUUGUGGACACCGUUGGAAACAAAGAUCGAGGGGCAAGGGAGCCCAUCAGAAGGGAGGCCCUGCUUCCGUUGACCCUGUCUCAGGGACCCAACAAAAUGAAAAGAUGGUCACUCGGAAAGGGGCUGUGAGCCGUGUGUGUGUGAGAGAGGUGGGAAUUUUGGUGAUGCCA
This is a long non-coding RNA of Mauremys mutica (yellowpond turtle), 278 nucleotides long. RefSeq lists it as uncharacterized. The record is from RefSeq and is a predicted model, not a curated record. NCBI's taxonomy places the organism in Eukaryota, Metazoa, Chordata, Testudines, Geoemydidae. The transcript is spliced from 3 exons.